This 387-nucleotide ribosomal RNA is filed under the name Ralstonia mannitolilytica. RNAcentral describes it as "bacterial SSU rRNA". It matches the Rfam family "Bacterial small subunit ribosomal RNA", at positions 32 to 415 of the family's 1533-position model. The record is from RNAcentral. Lineage: Bacteria; Pseudomonadati; Pseudomonadota; Betaproteobacteria; Burkholderiales; Burkholderiaceae.
AACGCUGGCGGCAUGCCUUACACAUGCAAGUCGAACGGCAGCGGGGGAAAGCUUGCUUUCCUGCCGGCGAGUGGCGAACGGGUGAGUAAUACAUCGGAACGUGCCCUGUAGUGGGGGAUAACUAGUCGAAAGAUUAGCUAAUACCGCAUACGACCUGAGGGUGAAAGUGGGGGACCGCAAGGCCUCAUGCUAUAGGAGCGGCCGAUGUCUGAUUAGCUAGUUGGUGGGGUAAAGGCCUACCAAGGCGACGAUCAGUAGCUGGUCUGAGAGGACGAUCAGCCACACUGGGACUGAGACACGGCCCAGACUCCUACGGGAGGCAGCAGUGGGGAAUUUUGGACAAUGGGCGAAAGCCUGAUCCAGCAAUGCCGCGUGUGUGAAGAAGGC